Lactuca sativa (garden lettuce) is the source of this 1732-nucleotide long non-coding RNA. RefSeq lists it as uncharacterized. Lineage: Eukaryota; Viridiplantae; Streptophyta; Magnoliopsida; Asterales; Asteraceae. The record is from RefSeq and is a predicted model, not a curated record.
UCUUCCUCCUUCACUCCAGGAUAACGCACAUGAUUGGUUUCCAAAUUCCAAAAGAUCCCAAGAUAAUCUUGAAAAUUCAAAUCAUGUGUAUCGAAUUAUAAUCUUCACGUAUGUUAUGGAGCCCUUGAACAGAUUAUGCAAUAAGAAUGUUCCUAUGUAAAUUUAUAUAAACAAAGUAAGAACAUGUUUAUACAAAGAUGCACUAACCACUGUGUGUUGGAAAAAGAGGAAGGUGAACCAGACUGAGCAGUGAAAGAAGUGGAAAACUGUCUUUCAAUACGCCCGCCUCAAAGAUUAUGAUUAUUUAAUUAUGAAUUGAGUUUAUAUACCCUGUUGUACUUCAUACCAACACAAAGAUUGGUAAAUUACUAUUCUGCCCUGCUCUGCUGCUAGAGAUGAAAGAUGAUCUGAGACUACUUUUUUGCUUUAUUCAGGUCCCUCUGAUGCCCCCCCUGUUGCAUACAACUUUCUCAAGAGAAUGGGUGAUUGGUAUGGGGAAGAACUUGUGAAUCAUAUAAUUGUAGAGAUACCUCAGAAAAGAUUUAUCUGAAGGAAACCUACCCAAAAAGCUAUAUGUAUCUUUAAGAUAGGUGAUUGUGCUUCUACCGCUAUUCGCCAAUUUUUUUAAAAAAAAUUGUGAUUUCUAGCAUCAAGAAUGCAUUCUCAUCUGCAUGCCAACUGCUCGACUUAAUGCCAGAUUAAAUUGCUUUGAAAUAGCUGCAACUGUUUGUUUUUUUAAAUUGAAAAUUUGAGUUUAUCGUUAUUCAUGUAAGCAGAUUUAAACAGAAGAACAGUUAAUGAGCGUGUAACUAGAAAUAUUUGCAGCUUAUAGAUGUGUUUUUACUUUUUAUAAAGAAAGAUGUAUUUUGAUGACAUUUUUUCUCUUGCACGCUCUUCAUCCAACGCUUGACCAGGCUAACCUCUUCUAUCACUGGUAAGAAAGUUACAUAUCUUUGUUAAUUUGUUGAUAGAGGUAAAAUUGGAAAUACCAUCUCAUAGGAGGUGAUAAUGACACAACAAAGGCUCUAAAACAAUCUUUGUGAGGUUUAUAUAUGUGAUGUGUUUUGAAUCUGGUGUGAGUUCGCAUGCUACAGUUGCUAUACAUAUGUUCAAACUACAUAAAUUGUUCUUAAUUUGUUAUCUAUUUUGCAGGAACACCUUAAAUCUCUUUUUUGGCGUUUAUAUUUGUUGUGAUAUUUGAAUACCAAGUUUAUAUUCAUGUUAACUGAUUCAAUGGAGGACGGAGUUGAUUCAAUGGAGCAGGGAUUUGACAGAUAUAAAAUCGUGUUUCUUUUCACCUUAAUAUAAACAAACGGGUUUGAUGGGUUAACUGAUAGAAAAAUGUCUUUAUUCAUUAAGACUUUAUUUUUUCAAAGCUAUCCUUUAACCUAACUCUUUGAGACUUAUCUAUUAAACAUGUUAAAUCUUGGGUUUGAAAGGUGUAUGAACAGUUUCCUGUGUCGGAAAUGAAGAACCUGGCAUCAACCAAGAAUUCCUCCAUUUGAAGACGAAAACUGCACCAUCGAUAGUUACUGCAAUCAGUACAGUCUUUAAUGCUUGCUCGUUGUGAGUCCCGAUCUAAGAUGGUAGCAUGAUCCAGUGUCCAUGUAUAAACAUUCAAGUAUUAAAGCUGAUGGACAUAUAUGUCAAUUAACUAUAAAAUGCCAUUGAAGGAUGAAAAAACAUCGUGGAAUAAUCAACACCCUUAAUAAAGAUUGAUGGUUAAUUUGCA